This 64-nucleotide transfer RNA is filed under the name Trapezia rufopunctata. Its description in RNAcentral is "tRNA-Gly". Lineage: Eukaryota; Metazoa; Arthropoda; Malacostraca; Decapoda; Trapeziidae. The record is from RNAcentral.
AUUUUUUUAAUAUAAUAAGUAUAUUUGAUUUCCAAUCAAAAAGUCUAUAAAUUUAGAAAAAAUA